GACGGAGGGUGCUAGCGUUGUUCGGAAUGACUGGGCGUAAAGGGCGCGUAGGCGGCUCGUGAAGUCGGGUGUGAAAGCCCGGGGCUCAACCCCGGAACGGCAUCCGAUACUGGCGGGCUUGAGACCGGGAGAGGAGGGUGGAAUACCCAGUGUAGAGGUGAAAUUCGUAGAUAUUGGGUGGAACACCGGUGGCGAAAGCGGCUCUCUGGCCCGGAUCUGACGCUGAGGAGCGAAAGCGUGGGGAGCAAACAGG
Molecule: ribosomal RNA, 253 nt
Filed under: uncultured bacterium
Lineage: Bacteria
Description: partial 16S ribosomal RNA
Rfam family: Bacterial small subunit ribosomal RNA
Source: RNAcentral